This 714-nucleotide long non-coding RNA is filed under the name Bos taurus (domestic cattle). Its description in RNAcentral is "long non-coding RNA NONBTAT020108". Lineage: Eukaryota; Metazoa; Chordata; Mammalia; Artiodactyla; Bovidae. The record is from RNAcentral.
AAUUAUGUGAUUGAUUGUUAACAUUUUUGUCUUCCUUAAUUUUUAAUCUCUCUAUUUUGAAAGUUUCUCUACAUUGAAAAUGUAUAAUUUUUGUAGUGAAAAUUUUUAGAAAAGAAAUGAAGCAGCCAAAUCAGUGGUUAUCUUUGGUUUAUGAGCAUAUAUGCUCAUAAUGAAAAUGCAUUCAUUUUUAUAAUUAGAAAAAAUAAAAAGUAUGAUUAUGGCCAUAAUAUAAUUACCGCCGUAGGGAGUCGCUAACAGAUUUUGGGCGCACAAGUCAAUUAUUCUCACUAGGCCUUUUUCCCCAUUUGAAAAAUGAAGAGUACAGAAAUGGUAAAGUUUCUCACUAAAUAAAAAGUUCCUUCUAAAAUUAUUUCUGAGUUGUGUUACGAUGUGUUAAUAAAUAUAUUUUCUUCUUGUAAAAAGUGUGUAAAUAUGUUCAUUGUAGCAAAGAGAAAAAAUUUUAAAAUUGUAAAACAGUUUACAAUUGUUUACAUAGAUAUUUAACAGUGUUUUUAAUUAUUUGGUUUAGAUAUUCUCUAAGUAUACAUGUAUGUUGCAUGUGCACUCACACUGCUUGUAUGUACUGUAUGAUAAUAUGAAAUAGGACUCUGUAUACUGUCUUGAACCAGAAAUGUCUAAGGAUGUUUGAUUUGUUGAUUUUGCCUUGGGACAUUCUUAAUGGAACAGUUAUUAAAUCCAUUUCAAUGAAAUAUG